AGAGUUUGUUCCUGGCUCAGGACGAACGCUGGCGGCGUGCUUAACACAUGCAAGUCGAACGGAGCACCCCUGAAAGAGUUUUCGGACAAUGGAAGGGAAUGCUUAGUGGCGGACUGGUGAGUAACGCGUGAGGAACCUGCCUUCCAGAGGGGGACAACAGUUGGAAACGACUGCUAAUACCGCAUGAUGUGUUUCGAUGGCAUCAUCGAGACACCAAAGAUUUAUCGCUGGAAGAUGGCCUCGCGUCUGAUUAGCUAGUAGGCGGGGUAACGGCCCACCUAGGCGACGAUCAGUAGCCGGACUGAGAGGUUGACCGGCCACAUUGGGACUGAGAUACGGCCCAGACUCCUACGGGAGGCAGCAGUGGGGAAUAUUGGGCAAUGGGCGCAAGCCUGACCCAGCAACGCCGCGUGAAGGAAGAAGGCUUUCGGGUUGUAAACUUCUUUUAAGAGGGAAGAGCAGAAGACGGUACCUCUUGAAUAAGCCACGGCUAACUACGUGCCAGCAGCCGCGGUAAUACGUAGGUGGCAAGCGUUGUCCGGAUUUACUGGGUAUAAAGGGCGUGCAGCCGGGAAGACAAGUCAGAUGUGAAAUCCCGCGGCUCAACCGCGGAACUGCAUUUGAAACUGUUUUUCUUGAGUACCGGAGAGGUCAUCGGAAUUCCUUGUGUAGCGGUGAAAUGCGUAGAUAUAAGGAAGAACACCAGUGGCGAAGGCGGAUGACUGGACGGCAACUGACGGUGAGGCGCGAAAGCGUGGGGAGCAAACAGGAUUAGAUACCCUGGUAGUCCACGCUGUAAACGAUCAAUACUAGGUGUGCGGGGACUGACCCCCUGCGUGCCGCAGUUAACACAAUAAGUAUUGCACCUGGGGAGUACGAUCGCAAGGUUGAAACUCAAAGGAAUUGACGGGGGCCCGCACAAGCGGUGGAUUAUGUGGUUUAGUUCGAAGCAACGCGAAGAACCUUACCAGGCCUUGACAUCCUGCUGAUGGCAUAUGCAAUGUAUGUUCCCUCCGGGGCAGCAGAGACAGGUGGUGCAUGGUUGUCGUCAGCUCGUGUCGUGAGAUGUUGGGUUAAGUCCCGCAACGAGCGCAACCCCUGCCCCCAGUAGCCAGCGCGCAAGGGCGGGCACUCUGGGGGGACUGCCAGGGACAACCUGGAGGAAGGCGGGGAUGACGUCAAAUCAUCAUGCCCCUUAUGGCCUGGGCUACACACGUGCUACAAUGGCGUCCACAAAGGGAGGCGAAAUGGCGACAUGGAGCAAACCCCAGAAAAGGCGCCCCAGUUCGGAUUGCGGCCUGCAACUCGGCUGCAUGAAGCCGGAAUCGCUAGUAAUCGCGGAUCAGAAUGCCGCGGUGAAUACGUACGCGGGUCUUGCACUCACCGCCCGUCA
This 1393-nucleotide ribosomal RNA is filed under the name uncultured bacterium. RNAcentral describes it as "bacterial SSU rRNA". It matches the Rfam family "Bacterial small subunit ribosomal RNA". The record is from RNAcentral.